UACAGAGGGUGCAAGCGUUGUUCGGAAUUAUUGGGCGUAAAGCGCGUGUAGGCGGCUUUGCAAGUCGGGUGUGAAAGCCCUCAGCUCAACUGAGGAAGUGCGCCCGAAACUGCAGAGCUUGAGUACCGGAGAGGAUGGUGGAAUUCCCCAAGUAGAGGUGAAAUUCGUAGAUAUGGGGGAGGAACACCGGUGGCGAAGGCGACCAUCUGGACGGAUACUGACGCUGAGACGCGAAAGCGUGGGUAGCAAACAGG
This 254-nucleotide ribosomal RNA is filed under the name uncultured bacterium. RNAcentral describes it as "partial 16S ribosomal RNA". It matches the Rfam family "Bacterial small subunit ribosomal RNA", at positions 524 to 776 of the family's 1533-position model. The record is from RNAcentral.